RNAcentral lists this ribosomal RNA (292 nucleotides) under uncultured bacterium. Its description in RNAcentral is "partial 16S ribosomal RNA". It matches the Rfam family "Bacterial small subunit ribosomal RNA", at positions 505 to 796 of the family's 1533-position model. The record is from RNAcentral.
GUGCCAGCAGCCGCGGUAAUACGUAGGGUGCGAGCGUUAAUCGGAAUUACUGGGCGUAAAGCGUGCGCAGGCGGUUUGUUAAGUCAGAUGUGAAAGCCCCGGGCUUAACCUGGGAAUGGCAUUUGAAACUGGCAGGCUGGAGUGCGGCAGAGGGGGGUGGAAUUCCACGUGUAGCAGUGAAAUGCGUAGAGAUGUGGAGGAACACCGAUGGCGAAGGCAGCCCCCUGGGCCGACACUGACGCUCAGGCACGAAAGCGUGGGGAGCAAACAGGAUUAGAUACCCGAGUAGUCC